RNAcentral lists this ribosomal RNA (1450 nucleotides) under uncultured organism. RNAcentral describes it as "partial small subunit ribosomal RNA". It matches the Rfam family "Bacterial small subunit ribosomal RNA". The record is from RNAcentral.
GACGAACCCUUUAGGGGUGCUUACACAUGCAAGUCGAACGGAAAGGCCCUGCUUUUGUGGGGUGCUCGAGUGGCGAACGGGUGAGUAACACGUGAGUAACCUGCCCUUGACUUUGGGAUAACUUCAGGAAACUGGGGCUAAUACCGGAUAGGAGCUCCUGCUGCAUGGUGGGGGUUGGAAAGUUUCGGCGGUUGGGGAUGGACUCGCGGCUUAUCAGCUUGUUGGUGGGGUAGUGGCUUACCAAGGCUUUGACGGGUAGCCGGCCUGAGAGGGUGACCGGCCACAUUGGGACUGAGAUACGGCCCAGACUCCUACGGGAGGCAGCAGUGGGGAAUAUUGCACAAUGGGCGGAAGCCUGAUGCAGCAACGCCGCGUGCGGGAUGACGGCCUUCGGGUUGUAAACCGCUUUCGCCUGUGACGAAGCGUGAGUGACGGUAAUGGGUAAAGAAGCACCGGCUAACUACGUGCCAGCAGCCGCGGUGAUACGUAGGGUGCGAGCGUUGUCCGGAUUUAUUGGGCGUAAAGGGCUCGUAGGUGGUCGAUCGCGUCGGAAGUGUAAUCUUGGGGCUUAACCCUGAGCGUGCUUUCGAUACGGGUUGACUUGAGGAAGGUAGGGGAGAAUGGAAUUCCUGGUGGAGCGGUGGAAUGCGCAGAUAUCAGGAGGAACACCAGUGGCGAAGGCGGUUCUCUGGGCCUUUCCUGACGCUGAGGAGCGAAAGCGUGGGGAGCGAACAGGCUUAGAUACCCUGGUAGUCCACGCUGUAAACGGUGGGUACUAGGUGUGGGGUCCAUUCCACGGGUUCCGUGCCGUAGCUAACGCUUUAAGUACCCCGCCUGGGGAGUACGGCCGCAAGGCUAAAACUCAAAGGAAUUGACGGGGCCCCGCACAAGCGGCGGAGCAUGCGGAUUAAUUCGAUGCAACGCGUAGAACCUUACCUGGGUUUGACAUGGAUCGGGAGUGCUCAGAGAUGGGUGUGCCUCUUUUGGGGUCGGUUCACAGGUGGUGCAUGGCUGUCGUCAGCUCGUGUCGUGAGAUGUUGGGUUAAGUCCCGCAACGAGCGCAACCCUUGUUCACUGUUGCCAGCACGUUAUGGUGGGGACUCAGUGGAGACCGCCGGGGUCAACUCGGAGGAAGGUGGGGAUGACGUCAAGUCAUCAUGCCCCUUAUGUCCAGGGCUUCACGCAUGCUACAAUGGCUGGUACAGAGAGUGGCGAGCCUGUGAGGGUGAGCGAAUCUCGGAAAGCCGGUCUCAGUUCGGAUUGGGGUCUGCAACUCGACCUCAUGAAGUCGGAGUCGCUAGUAAUCGCAGAUCAGCAACGCUGCGGUGAAUACGUUCCCGGGGCUUGUACACACCGCCCGUCAAGUCAUGAAAGUUGGUAACACCCGAAGCCGGUGGCCUAACCGUUGUGGGGGAGCCGUCGAAGGUGGGACUGGUGAUUAGGACUAAAU